This 663-nucleotide unclassified non-coding RNA is filed under the name Hevea brasiliensis (rubber tree). The record is from RNAcentral. Lineage: Eukaryota; Viridiplantae; Streptophyta; Magnoliopsida; Malpighiales; Euphorbiaceae.
GAUCAGAGAGUAUGAUUCAAAGAGAUUGUUGAAAGAGCAUUUCAAGAGACUUGGAGGUUAUGAUUUGGCUAUCAAAUCUGCACAGGUGACAGAGUCUACUGACAUCAAUGAGCUAGCAGAGAAGGAGCCUUGGCUCAACUCAACAAAGUUGGUUGUAAAGCCUGAUAUGUUGUUUGGCAAGCGUGGAAAGAGUGGACUAGUCGCCUUGAAUCUUGAUCUUGCUCAAGUUGCUACUUUUGUGAAGGAGCGUCUUGGCAAAGAGGUGGAGAUGGGCGGAUGCAAAGGUCCCAUCACAACCUUCAUUGUUGAGCCAUUCAUCCCCCACAAUGAAGAGUUUUAUCUUAAUAUUGUCUCGGAUAGGCUUGGUUGCAGCGUAAGCUUUUCUGAAUGCGGAGGAAUUGACAUCGAAGAGAACUGGGACAAGGUUAAGACCAUCUCUGUGCCGACUGGGACUUCUUUUACAUCAGAGAUAUGUGCUCCACUUGUAGCCACUCUACCAUUGGAGAUUAAGGGUGUCAUUGAGGAGUUCCUCAAAGUGAUUUACGCUCUAUUUCAAGAUCUCGACUUCACUUUCCUAGAGAUGAACCCUUUCGCAUUGGUUGAAGGGAAGCCUUAUCCUCUCGAUAUGAGGGGAGAGCUUGAUGACACUGCUGCUUUCAAGAA